This 286-nucleotide ribosomal RNA is filed under the name Bacillus sp. RZ5MS11. RNAcentral's name for it is "partial 16S ribosomal RNA". It matches the Rfam family "Bacterial small subunit ribosomal RNA", at positions 109 to 388 of the family's 1533-position model. The record is from RNAcentral. Lineage: Bacteria; Bacillati; Bacillota; Bacilli; Caryophanales; Bacillaceae.
AGUAACACGUGGGUAACCUGCCCAUAAGACUGGGAUAACUCCGGGAAACCGGGGCUAAUACCGGAUAAYAUUUUGAACYGCAUGGUUCGAAAUUGAAAGGCGGCUUCGGCUGUCACUUAUGGAUGGACCCGCGUCGCAUUAGCUAGUUGGUGAGGUAACGGCUCACCAAGGCAACGAUGCGUAGCCGACCUGAGAGGGUGAUCGGCCACACUGGGACUGAGACACGGCCCAGACUCCUACGGGAGGCAGCAGUAGGGAAUCUUCCGCAAUGGACGAAAGUCUGACG